UGUUUAUCAGGUCAAGAUCUAUCUGCCCUGAAAUUUUCAGAUGAAUCGGACAAUCGGUUGUUGGGUUGCUGCCCCUGAAUUGGUAAUUUUGAGGAAAUUUUGCUGUUUUUGGUUAUUAUCUUGAAUAUUAUUAUAGAUAGAGAUAAAUUGUAAACAGCAAUAAUGUUCAGCAAAGUAAGAUCUACAAAUAAGUCAACAUGACCAAAAUGGUCAGUUGACCCCUUUAGGAGUUAUUGCCCUUUAUAGUCAAUCUUUAACCAUUUUUCAUAAAUCUAAGUAAUCUUUUACAAAAUCUCCAUUGAAACUACUAGGCCACAAUCAUCUUUGGGUAUCUAGUUUGAAAAAUGUGUCGAUGACCUGGCCAUUCAACCAAGAUGGCCGCCACGGCUAAAAAUAGAACAUAGGGGUAAAAUGCAGUUUUUGGCUUAUAACUAUGAAUUCAAAGCAUCUAGAGCAAAUCUGACAAGAAGUUAAAUUGUUAAUCAAGUCAAUAUCUAUCUGCCCUGAAUUUUUCAGAUGAAUUGGACAACUGGUUGUUGGGUUGCUGCCCUACAAUUGGUAAUUUUUAAAGAAAUUUUGCCGUUUUUGGUUAUCUUGAAUACUAUUAUAGAUAGCGAUAAACUGUAAACAGCAAUAAUGUUCAGCAAAGUAAGAUCUACAAAUAAGUCAACAUGACCUAAAUGGUCAAUUGACCCCUUAAGGAGUUAUUGCCCUUUAUAGUCAAUUUUUAACAAUUUUCAUUAAUUUGGUAAAUAUAUGUAAAUUUUUACCAAAUAUAGUUCUCUGUUACUAAUGGGCAAAGUUCAUUAUAGAUAUAAUUGUAAGAAGCAAAAUCGUUCAGUAAAGUAAGAACUUCAAACACAUCACCAUCACCAAAAUACAAUUUUGUCAUGAAUCCAUUUGUGUCCUUUGUUUAAUAUGCACAUAGACCAAGGUGAGCGACACAGGCUCUUUAGAGCCUCUAGUUCAUAAAUCUUAGUAAUCUUUUAGAAAAAUCUUCUCCUCUGAAACUACUGGGCCAAACUUAACCAAACUUAGCCAUAAUUGGGGUAUCUAGUUAAAAAAUGUGUCUGGUAACUCGGCCAACAAACCAAGAUGGCCGCCAUGGCUAAAAAUAGAACAUGGGGGUAAAAUGCAGUUUUUGGCUUAUAACUCAAAAACCAAAGCAUUAAGAGCAAAUCUGACAGGAAGUAAAAUUGUUGAUCAGGUCAUGAUCUAUCUGCCCUGGAAUUUUCAGAUGAAUUGGAUAAUCUGUUGUUAGGUUGCUGCCCCUGAAUUGGUAAUUUUGAGGAAAUUUUGCUGUUUUUUUUUGUUAUCUUGAAUAUUAUUAUAGAUAGAGAUAAACUGUAAACAGCAAUAAUGUACAGCAAAGUAAGAACUAAAAAUAAGUGACUAUGACCAAAAUAGUCAAUUGACCCCCUAAGGAGUUAUUGCCCUUCAAAGUCAAUUUUUAACAAUUUUCUUAAAAUUUGAAGAUUUUCAAUAACAUUUUCCACAGAAAGUACUGUUAUAGAUAGAGAUAAUUGUAAGCAGCAAGAAUGUUUAGUAAAGUAAGAUCUACAAACACAUCACCAUCACCAAAACACAAUUUUGUCAUGAAUCCAUCUGUGUCCAUUGUUUAAUAUUCACAUUGACCAAGGUGAGCGACACAGGCUCUUUAGAGCCUCUAGUUUCUAUAAAUGAA
Molecule: long non-coding RNA, 1684 nt
Filed under: Mytilus galloprovincialis (Mediterranean mussel)
Lineage: Eukaryota; Metazoa; Mollusca; Bivalvia; Mytilida; Mytilidae
Source: RNAcentral